Molecule: small nuclear RNA, 103 nt
Organism: Nomascus leucogenys (northern white-cheeked gibbon)
Lineage: Eukaryota; Metazoa; Chordata; Mammalia; Primates; Hylobatidae
Source: Rfam
UUGCUUUGGCAGCACAUAUACUAAAAGUGGAACAAUACAGAGGAGAUUAGCAUGGCCCCUUUACCAGGAUGGCACGCAAUUUAGCGAAGCGCUCCAUAAAAAU